CCUCCUCCUCUCUCUCUCUCUCUCUCUCUCUCACACACACACACACACACACACACACACACAGUAAUUUUGAAAGUAGUAGAUUUUGGUGCAGAGUUUUUCAAUCUGAAUCAUGAUGGUACCUCACCUUUUUGUUGCCUCUUGUUAUUUAUUCUUUCAUGUCUUGAUGAGAUGAAGUCUGCAACAAGAGGAAGCAACGAACAAGAAUCGUCAAUGUCUCUACCCUUCCUGAUGGGCAGAUCUGUUGUGAUGUAUGUGAUUUUCAUGAAGAAAAUGCUUGUGAUCUAAGUAUUCAGAGAGAUCCCACACAACGCUCUUUUUGGAAAUUUUCAUGUGUACUUCUACGACGAGAUGUGAAAUUUUGCUGGUGAUUUUAAACCAGCCAUGAUCUUAGCCUCAGCGACUGCUCCUUCAAUGAUCAUUGGAGGUUCUCAACUAUUGGAUUGGGCCACUUUCUCACAUUGAUUGAUGCUCUCAUAGUUCCUAUUUUUUAUAUUCUUGCUGAGUAUUCAGAGAGAUCCCACACAACACCUUUUUGGAAAUUUUCAUGUGAACUUCUACGGCUAGAUGGGAAAUUUUGCUGGUGAUUUUAGCCCAGCCAAGAUCUUAGCCUCGCCAACUGCUCCUAUUGAUUUUUCGAUGAUCAUUGAAGGUUCUCAACCAUUGGAUUGAACCGCAUUCUCACAUUGAUGGGUGCUCUCAUAGUUGCUACUUUUUGAUAUUCUUGCUGAGACCUCUCUUUUCUCUUAUGAAAGAUUUGAUCUUAUAUCAUUCUACUAAACUGAAAUUCACCAUGAUGGAGGCCUUGCAUGGGAUUUUGUAUUGCCAUUUUUUACUUCUUUUCCAUGCUCAAUAGAUUUCUUGUUUCUUAUGAAAUAUCUGUGCUGUUUUACUGAUGUAUUUGGUGAUUUCUGUGUUUGACUGCCUAACCAGAAUUAUUUCAUUGCAGUUUCUUUAUCUCUUUGUAGCAUUCCUUUCCAUGCUUGAUGAAUCUUUUAUUUCUUGUGAAAUAUUUGAUCUUAUUCUGUUUUACUGAUGUAUUAAAUGAUUUCAAUGUUGAUGGGCUCAUUUCACAUGUAAGAAGUUGGACCACUCAGAUGGAAUAUUUAUGCCCAAUUUCUUUCGUUCUUUUUUUUUUUUUCCUUUCUUAGUCAUGCUUGAUAGAUUUCUUAAGGCUUUGAUGUUGCUCCAUUUUACUAUUCUGUUUAGUUAUUUUAUAUUUCUAUUUCUGGAAGACUUGGAUGGGAUAAUAAUUCUAUUGUUUCUUUCUUUCUUUUCCUGUUUGACAGAACUCUUCAUUAUGAACUUGGUAAGGACUUUUGACUCGUGAGGAAUAGUAACUGAUAUUAAUUGAAUCAAUUGUUUAACCCUAUUUUGAUUUUGGGUUUCUUUCGGAGAAGUUUGAAGCAUCUACAUCUAUAUCCAUCCAUCUUUUUAUAUAUGUAUAAAAUUGCUUGAGGCCAUAUGAGAUUUUAUUGGCAGGUUUCAUAUGUUAAGGUGCAAAUUUGAACUGAAAAGUGAUUUUUGAAUGAAAUAAUAGCAGUCUAUAAGUAAAAAUAUUAUUUGACACAAA
This is a non-coding RNA of Elaeis guineensis (African oil palm), 1573 nucleotides long. The record is from RefSeq and is a predicted model, not a curated record. Lineage: Eukaryota; Viridiplantae; Streptophyta; Magnoliopsida; Arecales; Arecaceae.